This 468-nucleotide ribosomal RNA is filed under the name uncultured bacterium. Its description in RNAcentral is "partial 16S ribosomal RNA". It matches the Rfam family "Bacterial small subunit ribosomal RNA", at positions 28 to 507 of the family's 1533-position model. The record is from RNAcentral.
GACGAACGCUGGCGGCGUGCUUAACACAUGCAAGUCGAACGGAAAGGCCCUGCUUUUGUGGGGUGCUCGAGUGGCGAACGGGUGAGUAACACGUGAGUAACCUGCCCUUGACUUUGGGAUAACUUCAGGAAACUGGGGCUAAUACCGGAUAGGAGCUCCUGCUGCAUGGUGGGGGUUGGAAAGUUUCGGCGGUUGGGGAUGGACUCGCGGCUUAUCAGCUUGUUGGCGGGGUAGUGGCUUACCAAGGCUUUGACGGGUAGCCGGCCUGAGAGGGUGACCAGCCACAUUGGGACUGAGAUACGGCCCAGACUCCUACGGGAGGCAGCAGUGGGGAAUAUUGCACAAUGGGCGGAAGCCUGAUGCAGCAACGCCGCGUGCGGGAUGACGGCCUUCGGGUUGUAAACCGCUUUCGCCUGUGACGAAGCGUGAGUGACGGUAAUGGGUAAAGAAGCACCGGCUAACUACGUG